CAGAACGAACGCUGGCGGCAUGCCUAACACAUGCAAGUCGAACGAGACCUUCGGGUCUAGUGGCGCACGGGUGCGUAACGCGUGGGAAUCUGCCCUUGGGUUCGGAAUAACAGUUAGAAAUGACUGCUAAUACCGGAUGAUGUCUUCGGACCAAAGAUUUAUCGCCCAGGGAUGAGCCCGCGUAGGAUUAGCUAGUUGGUGGGGUAAAGGCCUACCAAGGCGACGAUCCUUAGCUGGUCUGAGAGGAUGAUCAGCCACACUGGGACUGAGACACGGCCCAGACUCCUACGGGAGGCAGCAGUGGGGAAUAUUGGACAAUGGGCGAAAGCCUGAUCCAGCAAUGCCGCGUGAGUGAUGAAGGCCUUAGGGUUGUAAAGCUCUUUUACCCGGGAUGAUAAUGACAGUACCGGGAGAAUAAGCCCCGGCUAACUUCGUG
Molecule: ribosomal RNA, 436 nt
Filed under: uncultured bacterium
Lineage: Bacteria
Description: bacterial SSU rRNA
Rfam family: Bacterial small subunit ribosomal RNA
Source: RNAcentral